This 484-nucleotide ribosomal RNA is filed under the name uncultured bacterium. RNAcentral describes it as "partial 16S ribosomal RNA". It matches the Rfam family "Bacterial small subunit ribosomal RNA", at positions 28 to 523 of the family's 1533-position model. The record is from RNAcentral.
GAUGAACGCUGGCGGCGUGCAUAACACAUGCAAGUCGAACGGUGAAGCAGGAGCUUGCUCUUGUGGAUCAGUGGCGAACGGGUGAGUAACACGUGAGCAACCUGCCCCUGACUCUGGGAUAAGCGCUGGAAACGGCGUCUAAUACUGGAUAUGUGAUGUGACCGCAUGGUCUGCAUCUGGAAAGAAUUUCGGUUGGGGAUGGGCUCGCGGCCUAUCAGCGUGUUGGUGAGGUAAUGGCUCACCAAGGCGUCGACGGGUAGCCGGCCUGAGAGGGUGACCGGCCACACUGGGACUGGGACACGGCCCAGACUCCUACGGGAGGCAGCAGUGGGGAAUAUUGCACAAUGGGCGGAAGCCUGAUGCAGCAACGCCGCGUGAGGGAUGACGGACUUCGGGUUGUAAACCUCUUUUAGCAGGGAAGAAGCGAAAGUGACGGUACCUGCAGAAAAAGCACCGGCUAACUACGUGCCAGCAGCCGCGGUAA